Molecule: transfer RNA, 73 nt
Filed under: Phytophthora lateralis MPF4
Lineage: Eukaryota; Oomycota; Peronosporomycetes; Peronosporales; Peronosporaceae
Description: tRNA-Gln for anticodon UUG
Rfam family: tRNA
About the family: Transfer RNA (tRNA) molecules are approximately 80 nucleotides in length. Their secondary structure includes four short double-helical elements and three loops (D, anti-codon, and T loops). Further hydrogen bonds mediate the characteristic L-shaped molecular structure. tRNAs have two regions of fundamental functional importance: the anti-codon, which is responsible for specific mRNA codon recognition, and the 3' end, to which the tRNAs corresponding amino acid is attached (by aminoacyl-tRNA synthetases). tRNAs cope with the degeneracy of the genetic code in two manners: having more than one tRNA (with a specific anti-codon) for a particular amino acid; and 'wobble' base-pairing, i.e. permitting non-standard base-pairing at the 3rd anti-codon position.
Source: RNAcentral
GGGCACGUAGCUCAAUUUGAUAGAGCACCGCCAUUGGCGCGGAAGGACGCGGGUUCGAUUCCCGCCGUGUCCA